AGAGAAGGUAAAGAUACAGAACCAAACAUUAAUAAUCUGUAAUUGCUCCCUUACCAAAAGUAAACUCAGCCAAAAAAAUACCACAAAGAGGGAAACUUUUGGUAGCUCAAACUCAUUCAAUGCCAAAAACAAUACCUUAAUGAGAUUCAAAACCCAGAAAACAAUCAACCAGCAAUGAAAGAAACAAUCAAAAGUCCACAAAGCUACACCAAAAAUCCCAAUUUGGCAACCAACAACUAACAAUAGAAACUACUUCCCAUUAUACAAACAUCUGAAGAUACAACUUUUAAAGAUUGUGUAGACCUGACCUGACAAAGGAACAGCGAGAAUAUCUCCAGAACUAACAUCAGGAGCUCCCAUAGCAUUCACAUUCAUCAAAUCAGUAAUAGUAGUCGAAUACCUCCUCGCGAUUCCGACCAAUGUAUCAAUCUCCUUCACAACAUACGACAAAUAAACAGCCGGCAAAGAAUUGUCGGUGCCAUUGAAACAAGCACAAGGCAAGGGGAUAACAAGACUAGUCCCAACAUCAAGCAGCGACGGGUCAUUCACCGAGUUAGCUUCCUGGAUCUGCUCAGCAGAGACCAAGCCUCCGUAAACAGAGUCAGCAAUCGAUCCUAGAUUGUCAGAAGGUCGGGUUUUGUAAUGGGUAGAGACAGAUUUUCUGAUUCCGUCGACGCAGGAGCAAGUGAUUGGGAUUUUGAGGAAGAGCUUCGAAGGAAGGAUAUGGUUUUCGACGUCUGGGUAAGAGAUAUCGAUGGCGUUAGCUAAAAGGAUAGAGAUUGGGUCUACUUGGAAGAGAGAUGCGACUUCUGAGACUUUGAGGUCGGUGUAGAGUGUGUAGC
Long non-coding RNA from Arabidopsis thaliana (thale cress), 842 nucleotides. RefSeq annotates it as other RNA. The transcript has a single exon. Lineage: Eukaryota; Viridiplantae; Streptophyta; Magnoliopsida; Brassicales; Brassicaceae. The record is from RefSeq.